Molecule: transfer RNA, 71 nt
Filed under: Rasbora borneensis
Lineage: Eukaryota; Metazoa; Chordata; Actinopteri; Cypriniformes; Danionidae
Description: tRNA-Thr
Rfam family: tRNA
About the family: Transfer RNA (tRNA) molecules are approximately 80 nucleotides in length. Their secondary structure includes four short double-helical elements and three loops (D, anti-codon, and T loops).
Source: RNAcentral
GUUUUAGUAGCUUAAUAUAAAGCAUCGGUCUUGUAAUCCGAAGAUAGGAGGUUAAAUUCCUCCCUAAAACC